GGGGGGGGGGGGGGGGUCUGUUAUUCUGUAAACAUUUAAUUUUCACCCCAUUUUUCUCUAAUCUUUAAAAAAUUAACCCCUUUUUUCUCUAAUCUUCCAAAAAUUAACCCUUUUAUUCUCUAAUCUUCUAUUUUUUGACUCAUUAUUCUCUAAUCUUCAUUUUUUAAGGGCAUUAUUCUUUAAUCAUUUAACCCCAUCCAAACCCUCAUCUAUAG
This 215-nucleotide long non-coding RNA is filed under the name Mytilus galloprovincialis (Mediterranean mussel). Lineage: Eukaryota; Metazoa; Mollusca; Bivalvia; Mytilida; Mytilidae. The record is from RNAcentral.